GACGAACGCUGGCGGCGUGCUUAACACAUGCAAGUCGAACGGAAAGGCCCUGCUUUUGUGGGGUGCUCGAGUGGCGAACGGGUGAGUAACACGUGAGUAACCUGCCCUUGACUUUGGGAUAACUUCAGGAAACUGGGGCUAAUACCGGAUAGGAGCUCCUGCUGCUUGGUGGGGGUUGGAAAGUUUCGGCGGUUGGGGAUGGACUCGCGGCUUAUCAGCUUGUUUGUGGGGUAGUGUCUUACCAAGGCUUUGACGGGUAGCCGGCCUGAGAGGGUGACCGGCCACAUUGGGACUGAGAUACGGUCCAGACUCCUACGGGAGGCAGCAGUGGGGAAUAGUGCACAAUGGGCGGAAGCCUGAUGCAGCAACGCCGCGUGCGGGAUGACGGCCUUCGGGUUGUAAACCGCUUUCGCCUGUGACGAAGCGUGAGUGACGGUAAUGGGUAAAGAAGCACCGGCUAACUACGUG
RNAcentral lists this ribosomal RNA (468 nucleotides) under uncultured bacterium. RNAcentral describes it as "partial 16S ribosomal RNA". It matches the Rfam family "Bacterial small subunit ribosomal RNA", at positions 28 to 507 of the family's 1533-position model. The record is from RNAcentral.